CAUGUGGUUAAUUCGAAGCAACGCGAAGACUUACAGGUCUUGACAUCCCGAUGCUAUUUCUAGAGAUAGAAAGUUACUUCGGUACAUCGGUGACAGGUGGUGCAUGGUUGUCGUCAGCUCGUGUCGUGAGAUGUUGGGUUAAGUCCCGCAACGAGCGCAACCCCUAUUGUUAGUUGCCAUCAUUCAGUUGGGCACUCUAGCGAGACUGCCGGUAAUAAACCGGAGGAAGGUGGGGAUGACGUCAAAUCAUCAUGCCCCUUAUGACCUGGGCUACACACGUGCUACAAUGGUUGGUACAACGAGUUGCGAGUCGGUGACGGCGAGCUAAUCUCUUAAAGCCAAUCUCAGUUCGGAUUGUAGGCUGCAACUCGCCUACAUGAAGUCGGAAUCGCUAGUAAUCGCGGAUCAGCACGCCGCGGUGAAUACCGGUUCCCGGGCCUU
Molecule: ribosomal RNA, 441 nt
Filed under: uncultured Streptococcus sp.
Lineage: Bacteria; Bacillati; Bacillota; Bacilli; Lactobacillales; Streptococcaceae
Description: bacterial SSU rRNA
Rfam family: Bacterial small subunit ribosomal RNA
Source: RNAcentral